AUGGUGCUGGAGGCCAAGAGUUCAGGGCCAGCUGCCAGCCCCCAGUGUGAUGCCCCAUUCCACAGCAGGAGCCACAGGCACAGCCCCCAGGACACCCGCUGCAGCCCCCUGCUCUCCACCUUGAGAGCCACGGGCCUGUGCCCAGCAGAGGCCUCCCAAGCACACUCCAAGGCCUCCUUUAAUCAGAUUCAAGUAGCCACGGUGUGGUGCCCAGGCCUGCCGCCCACCCAUGUCCCUCAUCUGCUGCCUGACAUGAGGUUCGGGACAAAGGCCCCGAGAGCGAGCUCCCUCCCUCCCCCAGGGCCGCAAGCUGAGCCCCAGGGAGGCAGCCACCUGCACUUCUGUUGCCGGCGUGACCUGCGUCCCAGCUGCCCUUCCCUUGGAUUAAAUGGCAAUUCGAGUGUGGGCAGAGGAGCCGCACGUGAGCGAACACUGCAGACCGCCUGCAGUGUUCCUGAGGGGACUGCUUCCCAUUUGGUGUCUGUGUCCCUCCCACAUCGCAGGCCACGCAAUUCAUCGUGUCCCAGCGGCCUGGAUCCUGUGUUGGGGCAAUUUUUUGAGGCUUACCCGAUUUGCUGUCAGGUCAAAGCCAGGUGCAAAGGGAAUUCCCGUUCUCUUCAAGGCCACAGAGCUGGAGGCCAGGCCACCCUGGGUGCCCGCCUGUCUUCUGUGGGCUGCACCACCAGGGCUGGAGGCCAGGAAAUGCACUCUGCCCCCAGUGUGGGGCACCUCGAGCCAGCACCUGCAGUGACUGCGUCUCUGAAGUCCAGGAGCGGACAGGUGAGCCCACCACAGCCCCCCUGUGGACUGGUACCAGGCGAGGCCCCUCUGCGGCUGGUCAGCCUCCGGCCACAGCCCUGGGCACCUGAGUCUGGAUCUGGGUUUUUAACUCGCAGCAGGUGGCAGCAGACCCGGGGCUCCAGAGCUCUUGGACACCGGUACAGAGGGGCCUGUUCCAGGAGGGGGACUCUGCCCCCAUGGGGUCUAGUGGAGAGGGUGUUCAGCCAGGCAGCUGGGAAGGACAGCCUUGCUGUGUCCUCCAGGGACAUCCUCCUCCAGGUGGUUGGUGCGCACAUCCUCGCUCCCCACACAGUGCCUAGAAAGCCUGUGGGGGUUCUGGCAACGAUGGCACCCGCCCUCCAGCCCUUCCCAGGGGGUGCCCCAGGGCCUCUGCCCACAGCCCCUUCUCCACAGCCACACUCCCACCCACCUGUUUGGUGGGGCUUUGGGUGGGCAGGAGGAUGUAGACAGACAGCUCACACACGUCGGGGGUGGCGGGAAGGCUGCGGCUCAUGA
This 1296-nucleotide long non-coding RNA is filed under the name Callithrix jacchus (white-tufted-ear marmoset). RNAcentral describes it as "lncRNA (ENSCJAG00000062176.2)". The record is from RNAcentral. Lineage: Eukaryota; Metazoa; Chordata; Mammalia; Primates; Cebidae.